RNAcentral lists this ribosomal RNA (440 nucleotides) under uncultured bacterium. RNAcentral's name for it is "bacterial SSU rRNA". It matches the Rfam family "Bacterial small subunit ribosomal RNA", at positions 28 to 451 of the family's 1533-position model. The record is from RNAcentral.
GAUGAACGCUGGCGGCGUGCUUAACACAUGCAAGUCGAACGGGAAACAUUUCAUUGAGGCUUCGGCGGAUUUGAUCUGUUUCUAGUGGCGGACGGGUGAGUAACGCGUGGGUAACCUGCCUUAUACUGGGGGAUAACAGCCAGAAAUGACUGCUAAUACCGCAUAAGCGCACAGAACCGCAUGGUUCCGUGUGAAAAACUCCGGUGGUAUAAGAUGGACCCGCGUUGGAUUAGCUAGUUGGCAGGGCAGCGGCCUACCAAGGCGACGAUCCAUAGCCGGCCUGAGAGGGUGAACGGUCACAUUGGGACUGAGACACGGCCCAGACUCCUACGGGAGGCAGCAGUGGGGAAUAUUGCACAAUGGGGGAAACCCUGAUGCAGCGACGCCGCGUGAAGGAAGAAGUAUCUCGGUAUGUAAACUUCUAUCAGCAGGGAAGAUAA